Molecule: long non-coding RNA, 2098 nt
Organism: Vitis vinifera (wine grape)
Lineage: Eukaryota; Viridiplantae; Streptophyta; Magnoliopsida; Vitales; Vitaceae
Exons: 2
Source: RefSeq, a predicted model, not a curated record
UUUGCUCCUUACAAGUGAGAGAAGUACUAUGGCAUGAGUGGAGUCGGAAAAAAAAACAGAUGGCUCGUGAUAAAAGGAAAGUCGUUGUUCAAAGUGACAAUGAGACUAGGCAUUCUCCGAGGCAAAAGUGUGUCUGACCUCUUAUCUAAAGUCGAAGUGGUGUAGUGAUUAGUGAGCCUAUCGAGAGGCAUGUCACUCAUCAAGCCAAGCAUGUAGAGACCAGGACGAAGGCUCGUUUUGAUCACCCAACUAAAGUCAUGCAUGUAGAGGCUAGGACGAAGGCCCGUUUUGAUCGCUCAACCACUCCUAAGACCACGAGCAGUUCCCCCUACUUUGAGCCCAACAUAUUCUCCAUCUCUAGGAGUUUGUGAUGAUGUCCCUAGGGUGGACCUAUCUCGUCGGGAGUUUGGUCAAGAGUUUUCUUAUGACAUAAAGGCAUUUAGUACUUAUGAGCCCACUGCACAAUGCAUGCAUCUCCUCGACUGAUAUUAUUUUCUCUCAUUGAUGGAUCCUCCCCAAUAUUUUUAUGUCGCUAAUGUACGAGAGUUCUUCUCUACUCUUAAGGAUUGGAGAAGGGGGUAUCGAAAGCUCCAUUUUUCUAUCAGAAGACGAGCUGAUAUUAUUUCCACUGAGACCAUUGUUGCAGCCUUUGGUUUACCGUCAUUCACUCAUCCUGAAGCCCAAUUUGCACCUCAGUCACGACCAGUUUUUUUUAGGAUUGCACGUAUACUAGCACCUUGGGGUACCCACUAUCGUUCAGCCAUCACUCGCCUUGAGAUGCCACAUACCUUAUGGUUUGUGGAUCAAGUCAUUAAGACUAACAUUUUUCCAUUUAGACACUCUAUAGAGUGCUCUGGUUUAGUUUUAUGGGGGUUAUAUCACAUGUACACAGGCGAAUGGUAGAGUCCAGCUUAACUCAUCAUGGAUACCAUCAUUUAUUUUUUUCAAAAGGUCAAGGAGAAACAGUGAGCUUCAGCUCAAAGCUAUCUCAUUCUUUUGCCUCGGUUGCUUUCAUACUACUUGCUUCAUCGUGGACACCAAUUACAUGAGUCUAAUCGUCGUAUGGCUUCUCACUUAUGUUAUCAAUCAGUGGGUUUGAGCGAUUCAUUCAGGGUCACAGUUGACUACCUUUGGCACUAGAUGAAAGAGAGCUUUGCAUGUUAUUCCACUUCCAUCUACUACAGAGAGCCCGCUCCCGCCUACUCCUACUUUUGACACGAGGUUUCCAGUGUUUCCUAUUCCUCUUCCACCACCUCUUUCGAGUGCCCUAGAGCCUGCCAUUCCUAUUUCCACACCAGUAGUAUCGGUCUCCAAUCUUUCUAGACCUUCACAGCCUUAGGUUGUCGAUGCUACCCCAAGUACCUUAUCAAUCAUGGCUUGUCUAGUCACACUUUAGGAGUUAUUUGUGUCCAUGGACUCCCACAUUGAUGCUCGCCUAAGUAAGAUGGAGACUCAAAUGGAUGACCUCACUUUUUCUAUACAAUGGCUUACUUCCUUGGUUAUUCCAUCUAGAUAGAGGGAAAAUUUUGUUACACCAGUUGAUACCAGCUUAUAGAUUGACGGUGGCACAUAUGUGAUUGGUUCUAGCUUUAACACUAGGGCACCAACAGUAGCCCAUGAGACCAUGUCUAUUUUAUAGAUAUCAGGUGAUGUUGCAGCUAAGAUUUUUACCUCAACUAUUGAUAUUCCAGAUUCUGAAGGACAGGUCGAUGGUGAGAUCUUCAUUUGUGCUACUGACACUGGUGUGGACAUCAUUAUCAGGGAUGACCCCCCUAUGGUACAGGAUGUUGGAAAGGUCAUUACACUUAUCAUGGAGAUCACCGAUCAAGCUACUACACCUAUGUUGGAGGAAAUAGAUGGAGUUGUCGAUCCUAUUAAUGGCGCUUGAUUUUCAUUUCUAUAUAUAUACCUUAUUCGAUAUGGUUGUAUACACUAUGGUAUUUUUGGAGCAUACUAAUACUCUUAUACUCUCUUUUAGAUUCUCACCAUUUAUAUUUUUCUCUAUGCAUACUUUUGCUACUAAUCUUGUUGCAUUUGUGCAAGACUAGUUUGUAUGAAAUCAUUAUAACAAACUUCUCACUCGAUGAUCUUGAGGUAA